UCGAGAAUUUUUCUCAAUGGGGGAAACCCUGAAGGAGCGACGCCGCGUGGAGGAUGAAGGUCUUCGGAUUGUAAACUCCUGUCAUUGGUGAACAAAGCCCUCGGAGUAACUGCCGUUGGGUUUGAUAGUAGCCGAAGAGGAAGGGACGGCUAACUCUGUGCCAGCAGCCGCGGUAAUACAGAGGUCCCAAGCGUUGUUCGGAUUCAUUGGGCGUAAAGGGUGCGUAGGCGGUGAGGUAAGUCUGGUGUGAAAUCCCGGGGCUCAACCCCGGAACUGCACUGGAUACUGCUUUACUAGAGUACUGGAGAGGGAACUGGAAUUUACGGUGUAGCAGUGAAAUGCGUAGAGAUCGUAAGGAAGACCAGUGGCGAAGGCGAGUUCCUGGACAGUUACUGACGCUGAGGCACGAAGGCCAGGGGAGCAAACGGGAUUAGAUACCCCGGUAGUCCUGGCAGUAAACGGUGCGCGUUUGGUGUGGGAGGAUUCGACCCUUCCGUGCCGGAGCUAACGCGUUAAACGCGCCGCCU
This 527-nucleotide ribosomal RNA is filed under the name uncultured Verrucomicrobiota bacterium. RNAcentral's name for it is "bacterial SSU rRNA". It matches the Rfam family "Bacterial small subunit ribosomal RNA", at positions 355 to 874 of the family's 1533-position model. The record is from RNAcentral. Lineage: Bacteria; Pseudomonadati; Verrucomicrobiota.